GACAAAAUAUCUUGGAGCCUUAAUUGAUUCAAUUUAAUGUCGUUUUGUUGAUAUGAAUGUCACUAUUUUAAUUUGUAUUUAUGUGGAUUUUGGGUGUUUGGGGCACCACCAUUUUUCCUCGAUAUAUAUAUUUUUUAAUUCUUAAAAGUUCUAUCAUUGUCUCACUUCAUCAGUACAUUCAGCAUUAUAACCACCUACCCUGUUCUCCCCAUUUGACCACUGAAAGAACCUGCAGAGCAGCAGAAGACCAGCAGGAGCAGAGCGAGAGCACCAGGAGACAAUUGUUGGUGCACCAGGAGCAAGGCCCUGCAAUGCAGCUGAUGAGCCCAUUUACCCAGAUGAUUCAGCCUGCCCAGCAGCUGAACAGCAUGGCCGCAGGCAUGAAACUGGUGUUUGAAGAACCCAUUCAUAAUGAACUCACAGCUUAUACCGAGGGAAACAUACAGAGCAAAACCAGAAGACAGCAUUCCAAAAGAUAUCUAUCUAUGUUCCAGCACUUACUGUUUUUGGAGAGGGAAGUAUUCCCCUCCUGUGUGAAAGCCAAGGGGGAAUGCCUCCGUGAAGAAGGUGCCUUCCAUCAGCAGAUGUGACAAGUAUUUAGAUCACAAUUAAUAAUUUUAGAAUGUAUUCUCUAAUUAAACAUGGCUGCCUUUUUGACUGUGUAAAUGGUUUUUAACAGACCUACAAAUUAAUUGAUUUAAGAUUCCAGUUUCCCACCUAGCCUAAAACAAGUGAUUGACUGGGCAGAGUAGUUCCAUUAUUAGCUGACCUCAAGACUUAGUGCAGCAUCUGAAGCCGCCAGCUGAAAUGAGGGUGGAGGGAUGGAAAUAACAGCUGAAUGACCUCGUGUCCCAUUCUUUCUUCUAGUCUUGUUCAUGGUCUGAACUGUUUUCCUUUCUACUGCUUGAAAUGGAAAAGAAAUCCUUUGAACCGGCUGCAUGUGUGGUCUAUGUAGUUCUCUGUUGAAGGCAUGGCCAGGGAUUGAGAGGGCUUUGGAUAUUGUGGGCCAAAGGUUUUUUCUGAUCCAUGCCCAUGGUCUUCCCAAAUAACUGAAGAAAACCCCUGUAGACAUUUCUUUCUGAGAUAUUGGAGAGACCUUAGAAAAGAUUCACAAUUUAAUAAAAUAAAAUGACCACUUACUCA
Molecule: long non-coding RNA, 1143 nt
Filed under: Pogona vitticeps (central bearded dragon)
Lineage: Eukaryota; Metazoa; Chordata; Lepidosauria; Squamata; Agamidae
Description: lncRNA (ENSPVIG00000016126.1)
Source: RNAcentral